This is a non-coding RNA of Coturnix japonica (Japanese quail), 643 nucleotides long. Lineage: Eukaryota; Metazoa; Chordata; Aves; Galliformes; Phasianidae. The record is from RefSeq and is a predicted model, not a curated record.
AUGGAAGCAAGGGUAUUUCCUUAGGCUUCCUUGGGUGCUUGACUCCUGAAGGUUUUCACCUCAGGCCAAGUGCCUUAUGAACCCCAAAGGGCUGUUUUCUCCUAAGUAACGGCACAGCAAGGACUAUUGCUGUGCCCUACCCUUCAAUCUCCAUCUCUGCAGUCCUUGAUACACCACGGGACUAAAUGACCUGGGCAAGAAAAGGAACAAAGAGCAAAGCAGGCUCUAUAUAUGGUCACUGCUACAGACUCAUUGCUGGAGAAGACAUCACAAGAGAAACUACUUGGCAUUGAAACUGACCCUGAUUUAAUAACCAGAGCCAGAUUCACCACCAUCUACUAUACCUUAGAGAUAACUGCUGCUGCGCUGUCACAGGCAGAGAUAGUGAGAUCAUGCUGCUCUUCCUGAUGAACUCUCUUUGGCAGAGGUGUGGAUUGAGAAAAGUGUUAGAAGUUAUUUUGAAGUAUUAGUAACUUUUGUAUCUCCCUCCAUCAUACACAGAAAUGACUUAUUUUCUCCUACUUAGAAGAAAUGCAGAAGUUAUGGCCCAUAGCUCUUGGCAAAAAUGGGAAUGCCAGCAGUACUCUGAUGCGAAGAAGGGAAAUAUCAUCAUAAAAAGUUAGUUCAAAUGUUCCUCACAGAG